GUUUCUGUAGUAUGGUGGUUAUCACGUUAGUCUCACACGUGAAAGGUCCCUGGUUCGAAACCAGGUGGAAACA
This 73-nucleotide transfer RNA is filed under the name Homo sapiens (human). Its description in RNAcentral is "tRNA-Val (anticodon CAC) 9-1 (TRV-CAC9-1)". It matches the Rfam family "tRNA". From Rfam's summary of the family: Transfer RNA (tRNA) molecules are approximately 80 nucleotides in length. Their secondary structure includes four short double-helical elements and three loops (D, anti-codon, and T loops). The record is from Rfam by way of RNAcentral. Lineage: Eukaryota; Metazoa; Chordata; Mammalia; Primates; Hominidae.